This 492-nucleotide ribosomal RNA is filed under the name uncultured bacterium. RNAcentral's name for it is "partial 16S ribosomal RNA". The stretch from base 64 to 492 matches the Rfam family "Bacterial small subunit ribosomal RNA", at positions 37 to 507 of the family's 1533-position model. The record is from RNAcentral.
GGGGGGGGGGGGGGGGGGGGGGGGGGGGGGGGGGGCGGACGGGGGGAGGGGGGGGGGGUGGGGUGGCGGGGGGGGGGGGGCGGACGGGGGGGGCAGGCGGCGGGAUCUGCUUUUUCGUGGGUGGGGACGUGGGGGGGGUUACGCUAAUACCGCAUACGACCUACGGGUGACAGCAGGGGAUCUUCGUACCUUGCGCGAUUGACUGCGCCGAUGUCGGAUUAGCUAGUUGGCGGGGUAACGGCCCACCAAGGCGACGAUCCGUAGCUGGUCUGAGAGGAUGAUCAGCCACACUGGAACUGAGACACGGUCCAGACUCCUACGGGAGGCAGCAGUGGGGAAUAUUGGACAAUGGGCGCAAGCCUGAUCCAGCCAUACCGCGUGGGUGAAGAAGGCCUUCGGGUUGUAAAGCCCUUUUGUUGGGAAAGAAAAGCAGCAGGUUAAUACCCCGCUGUUCUGACGGUACCCAAAGAAUAAGCACCGGCUAACUUCGUG